CUUAAGUAUUCAAGGAUACAAGAUUAUAUACUAGUUUACUAGGCAGAUAGUCUUGGUACGACUCAAUAAUUAAUGGUCGAGUAUAGUAAUUUUCCUUUAUCAUGUUAUCACUUUGGGAGAUUCAUUUUCCUAAGAAAGUGAAAACGUAUAGUGGGAGGUUUAUGCAAUCCUGCGAUUGCAUAUUCUGCUAGAUAUACAAUGUAUGCUUUUACAUCGUAUAAUAG
This 224-nucleotide long non-coding RNA is filed under the name Erythranthe guttata (spotted monkey flower). RNAcentral describes it as "long non-coding RNA (EGUT_LNC000545)". The record is from RNAcentral. Lineage: Eukaryota; Viridiplantae; Streptophyta; Magnoliopsida; Lamiales; Phrymaceae.